RNA transcript from Vigna unguiculata (cowpea), 1829 nucleotides. It is a transcript of the gene named U-box domain-containing protein 62-like, with no coding region annotated. NCBI's taxonomy places the organism in Eukaryota, Viridiplantae, Streptophyta, Magnoliopsida, Fabales, Fabaceae. The record is from RefSeq and is a predicted model, not a curated record.
UAGAAAUGAAGCAAGAUCCUCUUACGACCAUAUCAUAACAUGUUACAUGGAGCAUGGGGAAAAAAACACUACUGUAACAACCACUGUGUCGUAAUAGCUCACUACUCAAACGACGUCGCUCCACGGCGAAAUCCUCAUCAACCGUCGCAGCCCAAAACGACUCGUCGUACAACUCAUCUUCCAGUGUGUGCCUUCCUUCUCCAUCCACUACACUGAAACACCAAAUCGCAACGACGUCGUUCCAGCAACCACCCUGUCCAAACCCUAGUUUUCUCUCUUCCUCUCAUGUCCUCCGAAGACAUCACCCUCGUCCCCGACCAGAGGAUCGAGAACGGUCUCAGCUCCCCUCUUGUCUUCCAAGAUGACCCUCUCCGCUUCAAUUGCCCCACGCAGCAGCGUCGGGUCGGGGACCCGGGUCCUAAAACCCGUGACCUCGGCGCCUUCAUCGACGAGAAGAUGUUCAUCGACCGCGACCGCUUCUUCGCCGCCCAGAACCCUGACUUCCGCCGCUACGCCGACUGCUCCUCCCGCCAAGACCCCCGAAAUUGGACCGUCAACGGCACCGCCGCCACUCCCAGCGAGGACGACGAUUCCGACGAGGAUGACGAAGAUGACGACGAGGAGGACGACGACGAAGGCGAUACGGAAGUUGAAGGACUCGUCGGUGGUGGAAGCAAAAGCGAAAUUAUCGCUAACAACAACGGUGGCGGUGGUAAUUUGCCUUCUGUUGCAAACGGGAAAGCUCACGCUUUUGUUUCUGGGAGAGAGCUGUUGGGGAAGGACGGUGGAGAGAUUGGGCAGUUGGUGCUUAGCAAUGUGAGUGGUGGUGGUGAUGACGAUCAUCGGCAAGAGGGGUUAGGUAAGUCUCAGAAUUCUGUUACCGUUGCUGAAACUGACUGUGAGGACUACUAUUCGCACUACCUUCAAGGUGCUGAUGGGGCUUCUGGCCACAAAGUUAUGGUGGAUGAUGGUGGUUGUGGGUUUAGUGGGAGAAAGGAUGCAAUGUAUUCUACCGAGUCAGGGGAAUCACUCAGGAAUAUUCUUUCAGAUCCUGUUACUGGAGCUCUUAUGGAUGACGCAAUGAUAUUACCGUGUGGACAUUCAUUUAGCGGAAGUGGAAUACAGCAUGUUAUUAGAAUGAAAGCUUGCUGCACUUGUUCUCAACCCACAACCGAGGAAUCAAUAUCUCCAAACCUAUCACUUCGAGCUGCUGUGCAGGCAUAUCGUCGGGAAGAGGAGUCUCAAUUUUACCGGUCACCUAAACGAAGAAGAGAGAGAUUCGAUCAGGACAGGGUGGAUUUGGAGAUUCAUCUGUUAUGGAACCAUCAAGGAGUAGAGGUGUUCAGUUUCCAUUUGCUGUUAUGGACCGGGUUGUCAUAAAGGGAAACAAAAGGACACCACAACGCUUUGUUGGGCGUGAAGCGAUUGUAACAACGCAAUGCCUGAAUGGAUGGUAUGUAGUGAAGACAUUGGACAAUGCAGAGAGUGUAAAGUUGCAGUAUCGAUCACUCGCUAAGGUUUUGGAUGAUCCUUCAAAACCUGCCUCCAGCAAGAUGUCACCUAAUUGGCUUUAGAACUGCUGCAGACAGUCAUCAAAUACUUCUACACCAACAUAAAUUCUUCGUUGUAAUUCCAUUGUUGUAUCCCUUGCGAGAAACCGUGCUAGAUGAGUUUGUAAAUAUUGAAACCAUACCAUGUUUUGUGCUUGUCGAGUUUUUAGUAUCUGAGUAAUCAUUUUGUUAUAGAUACAACUGACAGAGUAUAUAAAUGAUUGUGAUCUUAAACGAUAGUAAUACACCAUUUUCGGCUAUAGACUUUGAUGAUUGAUA